UACAGAGGUGGCAAGCGUUGUUCGGAAUUACUGGGCGUAAAGGGCGCGUAGGCGGUCUUUUAAGUCUUGUGUGAAAUCCCUCAGCUUAACUGGGGAACUGCGUCUGAUACUGGAUGGCUUGGAUUCGGGAGAGGAAUGCGGAAUUCCAGGUGUAGCGGUGAAAUGCGUAGAUAUCGGGAGGAACACCUGUGGCGAAAGCGGCGCACUGGACCAUAACUGACGCUGAGGCGCGAAAGCUAGGGGAGCAAACAGG
This 253-nucleotide ribosomal RNA is filed under the name uncultured bacterium. RNAcentral's name for it is "partial 16S ribosomal RNA". It matches the Rfam family "Bacterial small subunit ribosomal RNA", at positions 524 to 776 of the family's 1533-position model. The record is from RNAcentral.